UCAUGCUCAAUGGCCUCAUACCUCAACCCUUCCUGCUAGAAAUCUUCUAUGGACCAAUGUGUUUUCUAUCUUCUCUUAUUCGUCUGCCGAUGAUGUUCAAUUGCGUGAGGUACUGGUAAUCUGCAUCCUGAGGUCUAGAUCACUCUGUUUAUUGUAUCUAGUCCUUGGGAUGCAGAUUACCUCUUCCUUGCUGGCAAUGAAAAGCUUGUGAUCAGCUUAAAGAAGCUAUACUACUUGAUGUGCUACCUUUUAGAAGUACACUUUUCACGCUUUCUUCUACGUGUUGGUUGUUUCUUUAUUGCUGCAUUUUCAGGUAUGUGCUCGCAUACUAGACACAUCAGGUGGUCAAAACUCAAAAAUAUUGAUUCAUUUCCCUUGGUUAAUGGCACAUCCACAAAGCAAUUGCUGCCCACUAAAUGAACUUCUGCUCCUGUAGUACUGCUCAAGUUUUCUGCAGUACAAAUAGCAUCUUCCCUUCUUUCAGCUUUCUGCAGAACUCCAACAGCCUCUUCCCUGCUUUCAGUGAAGUACUUGCCAUCAUUGAAGAUCAGAAACUCUAACAUCUCCACAUGAAAGAAACUAAAACAUCCAUGUAUGUGUUAUGCAGGACCCGAAGUCUUUUCCGACCACACAAUGCCAGGACAGGUUGAAGUUAUAUUAGCUAGAAAAAUCUAUCUUCGGUAAAAGUUAAUUAACAGCAAGCUCUAUGACAUUAUACCAUGUAUCGUUUUUUUUUUUUGGGUAUGUAUUACACAUGACUUGAAGCAAAAGAAAGUUAGUUCCCCCUAUAAUAAGACUCCUAAACUUUUAUUCAGUCA
Quercus robur (English oak) is the source of this 818-nucleotide long non-coding RNA. RefSeq lists it as uncharacterized. The transcript is spliced from 2 exons. The record is from RefSeq and is a predicted model, not a curated record. NCBI's taxonomy places the organism in Eukaryota, Viridiplantae, Streptophyta, Magnoliopsida, Fagales, Fagaceae.